GGGAGUUAAGUUUACAGUCAUCCGAAUAGUUAGUUUAGACAAUUUGAUCAAAUAGUUAGAUGUCCUCUAAAUUUAGAGGAGAGAAGUGAGAAAUGUCAGGGAUGUUACCAUCAUGAUCUUCUUGUUGGGGAGCAUGAGCAGUAAAGUCAGCAGUGGUAUUGGCAUUGAAUGGAUAGGGAUGCAUCAACAGGUUAUUGUUCUCCAUUAAAAAGCAUACCACAGAUUUAACAGUAUGUAAUGAUAACUGAACAUCUUUUAAUUUUUCCAAAAUUAGAGUUUGAUUGUGGAAAAGAAGUUGGUACAUACUGUUAAGGGAAUCAAUUUUUGUGGCCAUGUUGAUGUUGGUUUCAAGGACCUCAUGAUUAAUGGGUUUAAAAAUAAUGAGUGACUGAGGUGGCAGAUUUAAGUGGGAUAUAAUGUUGCUGGUGGGAACGAGUUGAGACUGAUGAUUUGACAAAGGAAUGUUCAAAUAAUUUAACACAUGUGUGAGGAGUAGACCAAAACCAAGAUAAUUAUUUUGAAAAUAGAAUUCAAACGAUGACAGCAAGAAGUAGGCCAGAUUGUAGGGCACACAUUCAUUUAAAAGACUCUUUAUAAUUUCCAAAUCAAAG
This 611-nucleotide long non-coding RNA is filed under the name Panax ginseng (ginseng). RNAcentral's name for it is "long non-coding RNA (PGIN_LNC001378)". The record is from RNAcentral. Lineage: Eukaryota; Viridiplantae; Streptophyta; Magnoliopsida; Apiales; Araliaceae.